Molecule: long non-coding RNA, 286 nt
Organism: Pectinophora gossypiella (pink bollworm)
Lineage: Eukaryota; Metazoa; Arthropoda; Insecta; Lepidoptera; Gelechiidae
Exons: 3
Source: RefSeq, a predicted model, not a curated record
UUCAUGAAGGUUGGUGGAAGGAGUCGACAGCAUUCUUAGGCCAAACUUACUACUCAAGGGUAAAAUUUAUGCAAAUGUAUUGACUUUGACUAGCAACGCUUAGAAAACUGUAUAUUUCAUCGAUUCAUGAAGGUUGGUGGAAGGAGUCGACAGCAUUCUUAGGCCAAACUUACUACUCAAGGGUAAAAUUUAUGCAAAUGUAUUGACUUUGAGUAGCAACGCUUAGAAAACUGUAUAUUUCAUCGAUUCAUGAAGGUUGGUGGAAGGAGUCGACAGCAUUCUUAGG